CAAUCACCAGUUGCACAACAAUCAGUAUCCAUCGUGAUAUUUUAAACAGUCCAUAAAGCACUCAGGACGGCCCUGACAGAGAGGGGGCCGUAGUAGGGUGCUUCCAUAUCGGGCAUUAAUAUGAGAAUGACCCUUAAAUGCAUUUAGGACCAUAUUUUAAUUUUUGGGUUCCCAGGUGCACGUUUUCAAUCACCAGGUGCACGGAUGUAUAGGGUCCCCAUGGAUAAAAGGUCCGUAUUAGGGUGCUCCCAUAGCGGGCAUGACUUUUUGGAACACCGCUCAUGUAAUUUUAGGUUCCCAGGUGCACGUUUUCAAUCACCAGUUGCACGAAAAAAAUAAAAUAUUAAACCUUCCAUAAAUCACUCAGGGCGGGCCCCCAUUGAUAGAGGGCCGUAGUAGGGUGCUUCCAUAGCGGGCAUGGGUAUCUGGAACACCGUUAAGUCAUUUAGAACCGUAUUUUAACUUUUGGGUUACCAGGUGCCUAUUUUCAAUCACCAGGUGCACGGCUGUGAAAAGUGGGGACUCUGUCAUUUUUUCGACCGAUUUCUGAAAUUUUCAAAAAAUGAUUAAAAAUACUUCCCGAAGGGCCAGAGGUCCCCAAAAUUUCGUGUCAUACCCUCUCUCGUGAUGGGCAACAAUUCCAGCAUAUAAAAAAGAUUUCGCAUCCACAGGCACCUAUGUUUCUGGUAGAAUUCACUUUUUCCCAAAAACGUAAAUCACGAUUUUCUAUUAA
This is a long non-coding RNA of Oncorhynchus tshawytscha (Chinook salmon), 733 nucleotides long. The record is from Ensembl. Lineage: Eukaryota; Metazoa; Chordata; Actinopteri; Salmoniformes; Salmonidae.